This is a long non-coding RNA of Brassica rapa (field mustard), 11126 nucleotides long. RefSeq lists it as uncharacterized. The record is from RefSeq and is a predicted model, not a curated record. NCBI's taxonomy places the organism in Eukaryota, Viridiplantae, Streptophyta, Magnoliopsida, Brassicales, Brassicaceae.
GAAACUAAAGUUAAGUAUUUUCUAAAUGUUUUUAAACAUAAAAUAUAUACAUAUCCAAACUAUUAUUUUAUGUCUUAAUAAACAUUUAGAAAAUAUUAAAAUUUAGUUUCUUUAUCUUUUUUCAUAGCUGAUAUAUUAUUAUAUAAUAAAAUUAAUUCAUUUAUUAACCCGCAGUUUACUUGCAGUUAAUCCAGUGAUCAGGACCCGGUAAAUCGUCCGGUUCAGUAUCCGGGUCGAGUUUAAAAACAUUGACUAUAACUCAUUUUGACAUCUCUAAUUAUAUGGAACCACGUGAAUUGGUUCAAACCAGUCUGUUUCCUUUCAUAAAUUGAGAUGAAUCAAUCGAGAGAUCUGCAUUUAUUGUAUAUGUAUGUAAAACUAGAAUAAUACAAUUUUUCAAAAUAAAACUACAAUAAUUUUAUACGCAUGGGUACUUUAGGUGUUUGAAAGGUUGUAUUCGUUCAUGGAAGGCAUCAUCAUCAUCAUAACAGAGUUGAUAUUGCACUUGGUGUGGACCUUGCUCUUCUUGCCGUGCAGCAGUUUGACUAUUGAACAGUUUUUUUUCCCGCGGUGUGCUUUCGGAAGGGAGAGGGUUGGGGGUGGUAAAAAGUCAUGGCGGCUUAGAUUAAAAAUGACAAUAUUCAGGUUAUCUUUCUGACCGGUGGUAUCAUCGCUCGGUGGUUCUCUCUGGUGCCGCCAAAAAUAUCUCUGUUGAGUGUUUUGGGUUCCCUCGUGCUUGGAUUCUUUAUCGGAGUCAGGUUGCAACAUGAUGGUUGAAAUUGGAGGGGUCGUUGUUUCAAAGUCUGAAGACUUCUUUUUUUCGAUAGCUUGUAGUGCCCGACUUUUGUCCUCGGCUACUCUUGAUUUCUUUGGUCCAAACCUGUCUCGUUGUCUGGCUUUCAAAAUGUGUUCCACGCACUAUUAUUCUGGGUUUGGUUCAUUGUCAUCUUAGGUUCUAUUGUUUAGUUUAAUUGUAUUUGUAAUUUGAUAUACAAUUUAACUAAAAAUAAAGUUCAUCAACAUCAUGAUCUUAGCUACUAUUAUCCGGGGAUUUGGCAUACAAUCUGCCUAGAAACUAAAUAAAAUAGUUAAGAAUAAAAUUUCUGCAUAUAGAUCUGAACAAUAUCAAUAGAAAAUAUGUUGAAUUCAUGCACAUUCUGCUUAUUUUAUUUUACUCAUAAAAAUAAUUAAGAGAUUGUUAGCAAAAACAUUUUUUAAAAAUUUCAAAAAAUAUUAAAGCCAAAAAUUAUGACAAAACCAUUUAAAUAAAAAAGAAAAUGCAUAAAACUGAGUUAUUAAAGAGAAAUUGCCUAAACUACCAAAUUCCUAAUACCACAUUUCAUGUUUACCUCAACCACAUUUACUUUAACUUGUAUGAUUUUGGAAUGUAGAUUUAGGAUUUUAAAAAAUAUAUAAUUUUUUUUUAAUAAUUUCAAAAAAAAAUUUUGAAACUUUGCAAAAAAAAGUUUGACAAAAAUCAAAAUUUUAAAGCAAAAAGAGAAAAUUAUUAAAAGUUAUACUUUGAAAAUGUAUAAUUCGAAAACUGUAAAAAAUAUAUUUUUAAUUUAUUCAAAUAAUUAUUUAUAUUUAUAUAUCUAUUAAGCAAAUGUAGAAAAAUCUUUUAUAUCUUUAAUGAAGAAAGUAUUUAUGAAAAUGUUUAUUCAAUGAAGGUAAUGAAUUGUGAUACCAAAAAAAGGUAAAAGUGAAAUUUACCCGUUAUUAAAAGAAAAUCUUACAAUACUAAAAAAGCUUAAUGCUCAAUGGAGAGAGCUGUCACGUCCUCUUAAAAGAUCCACCAAUCAUGAAGUUCUUUUUUGCCAUGUCAUUCUAUCUUUGUAUAACAAAAUGGACUAACCAUUGGGAUGUCAACAUUUUCGUAAUGGCCCACUGUUGACACAUUUCUCCUACGCCUAGGGUGUGUAUCAAAGUCGAACAUAUUGACUCUUCCACUUCAUCUUCUUUGUUACCAUUAUCUGAAAAUCAACGUUAUCACAUUCGUCCUUGAUCAAUUAAUUGUUUUCUUUACUCCACUCUUUAUGAAUUCGUUUCACCUCUCUUUGUUUCUUUUUCUGUAUAAAUCCAACCAAAAUCCAAAACCUUCACUGAAGAAAUUGAAGCUGUGGCAAUGAAAUCCAAAGGGAUGUCUCCUGUCUCCACCAGAAAGUAUCCAGCCUAAUGGGAACUACGGUUCCGGUUAAUCCAUUUCGUUGGAGCUGUUUGGUAGAUGUGUGGUUGUAGAGUUGCAGAAAUGGGGCAAAGUUUAUUCUGAGUAUCUCGAGGCUUUCUCCUUCACGUAAUCUUCCUUUCCUUUUCCAAGCUAUAUUUAAAUCGCUAUAAGAUAAGUGUUUAAUAAUGUAUAGAAUGUGAUUAUUAUUUUAUAAGUUGCAGACAUAGAUUUUGUAUAAUUUUUAUAUUUCAUUUGUACAGUUGAGAUAAAUAGAUUUCAGUAUUGAAGUUGUGACUUCGUUUUGAUGUGCCAGACCAAUAUGUUGUAAAAUGUAUACUGGGAUUGAUUUGCUUUAAUUUGAGCUUUUAGAUGUUAGCAUGAGGAGGAAAAAUCAGUAGACAGUGUUUGUCAGAGGUAUUCGGCCAGGUCCGGCACCCCCGCUCAUCGCCUCUCAUGGAUUCUCUUAUCGGCUCCUCUUUGGAGUUAGGGACAAAAACUUUGAUGGUGUGUUUUAAGUCUUCCUUUCCUAGCUCUGAUGUGACCUAUGUUGUUCUUCCCUUGCCGGAAGAGCAUCAUCCACCAGCAUUUCUCACUAGAUUUGUAAGUGAAAUUUUGUGUCUUCUUUUAAGACUCACUAGAUUGGUCUUUUAAGAGAAUUUAUAGAGUCCUAUGACCAAAACUGGCUGACACAAGCACAUGUUGAGUUUAAUUAGUGUGGUGGAAGCUCAAUGUUAGCUGCUACAGUUUAUUGGGACGAAGAAUUAUAUUCGGCGCCGGAAAAUUAUAAUAAAGCACUUCAGGAGACUAUGCAUCAGAUUAACAUAGAUGAAUUCAAGUUUGUUAUGUUGUGGUGGGUUACGAAGGGAAUCUCUAGGAGUAUAUGUUCUGAGGAAGAAUCAUGUCCCUAUAAAAGGGGCAUAUUACAUGUGUUAGAGAAGGCUUUGGAGAUGACCAUUAGAAGAGUUCUUCCCUUAGCAAGGUAGGUUAGUGACCAUGUUUGUAUCUAUUUUUAACACAAUUAUGGUUCUCAUUUAACUUAUUGUGUUUUUGUUUGAAAAAUCAGGUAGUGCUUGCUCGCAACAGCAUAGUUAUAACAUUCAAUCAUUGAUCACAUUGCUUGGCUUGCAUAGUUACAGGUGUGUGCUCUAGAUAUUUACAUAGUAAUAAAAGCAAAGUUAAGACUUGAAUCACACUCUAAUUAUUAUUGUGUUACAGCGCAUACCAGUUCUGUCUUCAGCCACCAGGUGCACCAGCUUUUAUCUGAAACACAGUAUGUUACAAGUAGUCUGCUGAUACAUUUUAUUUGAUUUCAGUAGUUCACAUAUCAGGACGAAACAUGUCUGAUAUUAAAAUAUUUGUGUGACAUGCAUCUUUGUGAAACAGCAUGAGAGACUUUUCCAAAGGACUUAGAUAGGUGUCUGCAAUAAAGGUUUGGCUACAACUAGGCCUCGAGUUGCUCUAAAGGCUUGUGAUAUGCGAGAUAGAACGUGACUUGCUAACCAGGUCAUUUAUUUUUUGUUAAUCUUAUUCUUUUGCGUGAAAUUUUUUCUUUUUGCAGAGAUUAAAGAAGGGUCAAAAUAAUAAGGAAAAUUUUAAGGGUUCAGAAUACCUUUUUACCCCUUUUUUAAGUUUAACUUUCAAAGCAAUAUAUAUUCAUAUAUUAUCAGAUAUUUUUAUCUUAUUAGUCUGUCACACUUUGAAGCCAAAUUACAAAUAUCAUAUGGUUUAUGAAAAGUAUGCUCACCAAUUUUAGGAAGCAUUCGCUUGAGGGCUACAAACAGAUAUACAAACUAUCUAGUGACAUUGCUUCGUCAACCAAAAUCUCUUCUUUUUUCAUGAAAGUUAUCUUUUCUUUCUAUGAAGUAUUGUUGUAAAUAUAAAAUAAUUUGUUUUUCUGAUGAUCCUGGUAUCCGAAGCUUCGAGAGGAUUCGAGUAGCGCCAAUGACCGUCCACUGGAGCUUAGCUGGGGAGCCCGCCGAGGCAUCCAGGAGAACUGGUGAUCACCCAUGUAAAUCCUACCAGUGGCCCUGCUAACUUCUCUGUAUUACGCUCGAAGGUCCCUCAAGAUAAUCACUUCUUAGCGGCACUCGAACUCAUGACCUCCCAAGUUGAGUUUAACCACUGGACAACUAGCACAAAAGAAAAUCCUCAAAGAUCAUGUUAGUGUUUAACAUGGUUCUCUCAAAAAACGUAGAACGGAUUUCCUUGCUUUUACAUCAUCAUGAUCUCCUCCCUCUCUUCCACGUGUAGUUAUGUCGUAGAGAACAACUGAAUUAAGAAAUUUUUUUUUUUAAAACAAUCCAAAAUAUAAAUUAUACAUCCUGUCACUUUUUAUAUACACAUUUGUCUGAAAUAAUACAUUUUCCAGAACAAAAAUAUAUAAGUACAUUGUUCUUCUCUCACAUAUUGAUUAUAGUUUUUUUUUGUUGAAAAAACAUAAUGAUUAUAGUUUAUAAGAAACAUAAGCUAAUACUCAAUGUAUUCCCCUGAAAAGCUGAACUAAUAAAGUGUUAUUUUUGUCUAACACAUUAAUGUAACAUCUCGAGUUGUGAUAUAUGGAAAGACUUAAGAGAAUUGAUUUGGCUACCUAUGUCACCAAAGUUAACUUACCUUUUCCGUCACACAUCCGUUUAGAACUCCAGAGUUAAGCGUGUUGGGGCUGGAGUAGUGAAAGGAUGGGUGACCUAUCGGGAAGUGAUUCGCGAUACUGUACAAGUGAGGCGAAAGCACGGGAAAAGGUCGGGUAGUAAUUGCAGGGUCAAUAAACAAGACUCUAGAGCCUUAGAAAAUUAACGGACCGACCGUCAGAUGGAAUGGGGCCCACAGGCCGAGAGAGCGGACGUGGGUGGUCCAUUAGCCGUGGGCGGUCGGGACGUUAUAAGUGGUAUCAGAGCUGAUUAUCCGUCUCAGUUUUGACCUGAGAGGCGUCUUGAGACCUGUCGUGGGACGCAACGAGAACGUUGCAUUCUUUGAGAGGGGGUGAAUUGUAACAUCCCGAGUUGUGAUAUAUGGAAAGACUAAGAGAAAAACUGAAGAUAAAAAUAACUAAAAUUUAAAUAAAAUUAAACAUUAGAAAAAACAGCUAAAACAAUGAAAUGAACCUCCAAAAAGGGGAAAAAUUUAAACCUAAGCGGAUACACACAGAAAAAAUGUAGGAAGUAAAUAGAGAUUAAUAACCAAGAAAAAUAAUAAUAUCAAACUAAAGUGUGUUAGUCAAGCAACUCAUUUUUGGUUUAAUGAAUAGUAAACAUAUUUUAUAACAGCAAAAUAUGUGGUAUAGGCUAAUUUGUUUAGCAACUCAUAUUCCAAAUUUACUAAAAACAAAGGAAAAUAUUAAAAAUGAUCAAUCAAUAAAUAUUUAUAAAAAUAUAAAAUCAGAUAAAACAAUUUUCACAAGAGUAAAAAUAAUAGUUAACAAAUUUAUAAUAUAUAAACCGCGCGUAACACGGUAAAAUCUCUAGUAGAUAUAAAAGAGGUUUUUUUCUUUUCUCCUGCUGCCACAACAACAAGGAGGAUAGGGCUUUUGGUGACACAUGGUAACUAUUUUCUUAACAUCUAGAACUAUUUCGUGAGUUUCGUCAAAUGGCCUUUUAAAUCUUUUGCUGGCCCACGAGUUCUUCGGGUUUGUUCCUCCCACUAUUCAACCGUCACUUUCCCCUUCUCUCCGCCACUCUCCUCUGUCAAAUCCAGCGUCGACUAUACAAGACCACUCCACCAUUCAACUUAUCCUUACUAGACUUCUCCUGAGCUUCUCACUUCCCCUGUAAACUUUACGCCGCCAACUCCGUCUUAUCGCUUGCAGAUUGGGCUUUGUUGCUGAUAAAUUCUAUUGUAUAGAUUCAAACCAGGACCAUGUACUACUAGGGUUUCGUUCAUUGUCACUCUCUGUGACUCUUUGCAUCUCUAGACCCCUGAGCAACGCCGGUGUAAUGUAUUCCGUUAUCAGCUAUCAUCUCCAUUAAUCUGAGCAUUAAAGUCGUAUCCACCACUCUUCCCACUCUUUCGCAUUUAGAGGGCCUCAUCAUUCCAAUGUAAUGGAUUGAAUGUCCGUGUAUAAAUGUGUUCUUUUCCUGCAAUGAAAACCACCAAUUGAGAUGUAUUGUAACCUCUCUGUUUCUAACCAUGUCUCUUUAUUUACUUUAUGUGUCUUCAGGCAACUAGGCAUGCUCACAGAGUCUAUGUUGGUGGGCUUUCACCUGUGGCAAACGAAGAGGUUAGUAACCACUUUCUUUGUGAUAUCUAGAUGAUUUUAUCUCCUAUUUCCUGCUUUAUGUAUCUUUAGAGCUGUGUUUGGUUCGGUUCAAUGUGUUUUCAUUAUUGUAUCUCCUCCAUUUUUUUCCUUUGCUAGAUUGAUGGGAUUCGGCUUUACCGGCAAAGAUCCAGUUGCGAAAUAGAGCUUCCCUGCGGUGCAGGUAUAUCUCUUUGUUCGUGUUGGCGUGUGCAGGUGUAUUAUGCAAAUAAUGCAUAAAGGCUGUUGUAUUUACCAUUUUUUUUGGUUAUUUCCAUACAUUUGUAGGCCGUUCCAUCUUUUUCUAGCUCAUUCCCACACUUGUUCCCUUUCAAAGAAAACAUCCCUUGCUUGAUUCCCUGUGCAAUUGACCAGGUGUGCUGUUGUUUUCUCAGGUUGGAACUUUAUGAUGAUUCAUCUCUUUUUGUGUGUGUGUAUCAUUUAGUUUUUUUUAUGCUAUAUUACAUCGUUUGAUGCUAAUAUUGAUUUAAUUUCCUGUGCUGCAGUGUUGUUAUUAAUGUUUACAUAAACCAUAAGAAUAAGUUUGCUUUUGUGGAGAUGCGAUUUGUUGAAGAUGGCAAGUAACACAAUGUCUUUGGGUUGUAUUCGAGGUAGGAUUUUAAUGUUAACCCUUCUACCAUAUAGUUGUUUGAGUUUUAGUUUUGGUGGUCUAUAGAUGAACAACUAUUUUUCACACAUAAAUAACAAUUACCAAGAUCUCUCUGGUACAGAUAUGGCAUCAAAUGGGAGAUAAAACGCUUACUGUGAGACAUGCGAAUCAGGGAACAAUGCAACCGAAACCUGAACAAGAGAGUAUAUUAUUGCAUAUGCACAAUAGCAGAUUGCUUUUCAGGCAAACUAAUUUUUGUUACACUUUUGUAUAGAUUUUUAUAACACAUUAAGAUGUUAGCAACCUCUGUCUCUUAAUGGUUUAUCAAUUGUAGAAUUGUUCUCUUUUGCAGAUGAACAUGUAACAGCCGGGCCCAGUGGUAACAACAGUUGUAUGCUAUACUCAAGUUGUGACCGAGGAUUAUCUCAGAGACAACAUGGAAGACAUGAGACAAGAAGGGUGAAAGUUUGGUAAGCGAUGUUUAUAUUGUAUUUUAUUAUCCAUUUGGAGAUAAUAAAUAUUAAAAGCAUAUAUUGAUUUGUCUCUCUAUUUUCUUUGGUUUGUAUAUGACUGUUUUACAGCUUUUGUUAUAAGAAUCAGCCCUAACAUACCCAGACUGAGACUGCAUAGGCGUAUACAUGUGUAAGGGUUCUUGAAGUAUGGUGAUACUGAUGGUUUUUCAAGUACAAGAAGCAUGGAUGAAUGGUAGAAAGCUUGGAGGGACGAAGUGUUUGCUGUGUUUUACCCUAAUGACAAGUUUUAUUAGUACGAAACCUGAACUCAUCCUUUUUCUUUACUUUCUAAGACCUUUUAAGUUAUGUUAUUGCUUCAGUUAAAACGACCCUUUGCGUGUGGUUUGAAGACCAGCAGAUUAUCUUAAUAAAGUUUUUUUAAUAAAGUAAUAUUCAUAGAUGAUUAAAAAAUGCUUUGACAAAAAGAAAAUUGGGUUUGUUCAGGCAAGUAUAUGCUAUGCUAAUCAUAUAAAUGCAUAAUUUAGUUUCAUGCUAACCAUUUUUAAAACUUUAUUGAUAAUUUAUUUCAGACCUCUCUAUUGUGUAGAUAUUAUUGAACUUACAUAUAUAUUUAAAAAAAUCAAAUUAAUAAUCGACCAUCAAAUGUUUGGAAAUAAUAUUUUUUUUAUAUAUUUUAGAAUCCUAUCACAUUCAUUUGAGUCAACUAAUUCCCACCCAAACAUAUUUCGUGGAAUCAAUCCUAAAUUAACAUCAACCUCAUGAUCCUCUAAGAAAUACAAACCUCUUUGGAUAACUAUAUAUGCUUCACAUAACUAUUUAAUAUUCACAAAUUGUGACCUCAAGAAAUUAUAAGAAUCCAGACCUUAAUUCUUAGAGAAACCCGUAAGGAGGAGUUUGGAAUUAAACGUUUAGGUAGAAAGUGCUCCACAAUAAACAUUAUAUCAUGCAGAACUUACACAAUACACAACGCAUGUUGAGAAGGCUAGAUGAGACAACAAUCACCAAUUACGCGGGAUCCAAAAUUCAUGCAACACCAACAGAAAUAACAUAUAAGUAGAGCUGUAGAGAUGGAAACCAGCAUGAUAUCCAUAACUGUAGAAAUAUCUAUAUAUGGCUACAUAAACACGGCAAAUAACAUAAUUCAUAUCCAAAACCGUUCACAUUUUUUAGUUUAAUAAAACUAAAUCUGUGAACAAAGAUAUUAACAUAACUUAAACUACCAUGUAUUUAUAUGACUGCCAUCGUUCAACAUAGUGGGACAUUUAUUGCAAUAAAAUAGAAGUGAUAAUCACGAGAAUAAUAGAAUCUGAAAGGCUGCAGAAAACUGAAAUCAUGCUUGAUGAAGAUAAACCAAAUCAAAUCACCAGUCUAAAGAGGCACACUAAAUGCCCAUAAAAGGUGAAUAGCUGAAUUAAUACAAGAUCUACAGUCUUAAGAAUCAGUUACUUAAAUCCCGUUGAAACAAAGUAUUUAACCAAUACGGUCACAAUGAAGUCUCCAACAAAUUACCACAUCUUUGGUAUAGACAAAAUAUACGAAGAUUGUUACUACUUUAAGAGGAUGAACCAAUUUGUUAUCUUACUUCAAACAAGAUAAUCAUAAAAACAAACACAAGCAUUCACAUGUUUCCUCUUUAAACAUAAAAUUUACUUAUGUUUAAAUUUCAAUUGAAUUUACUUUGUUACGACUAUAAGCUUUUUGUAUUCUAUUUUAUUGAAGAGAUUAAUCAUAACCGUUUAUGCUAUUCCACAUUGACCUAAGUAACUUCAAAACAAAGUAAUACACUAUUGUCGGUAACCACUAUCAAAUGGAUAAAAAAAUCAUUAUUUUUCAACAUAUAUUCAUCUUCGUGUUUUGAACUUAUUUUCUUUACAAAGACCAUAAAAUACAUUGUUGAUUUAUUUAGAAUAAGAACAACAAACCCGGUGACCACUAGUCUAUACUCCCUCCGUUCCAUUAAGAUAGACUUUUUAGAAAGAAGUUUGUUUCAAAAAGAUGUAUUUUUGUGUUUUCUAUGAAAAAAUUGUAAACUUCAAAAAUAUUAAUUGACUUUGGUGAAUUAUUAUUGGUUAAAAGUUAUUGAAAAUUACAAAAAAACGAUACAUUUAUUAUAGUAGUUUAAUGUGUUUUCUUAAUAUGUGUAAAAAUACUAAAAAGUAUAUCGUUGAAGAACGGAGAGAGUUGAAGAGAAAUGCUCCAUAAUGCGCCACGUCAUCCCUCUUAUCCCCAUUUUGCGACACUUGUCGAACAGAGAGACAACUUUUUCUUUUUGCUUUUGUUUUCAACUAGCGGAUCUUCUUCUUCUUCUUUUCUCUUUGGUGUUUCAAACUCGUCGAUGAGUAGGGGUUUAUGAUAAUUUAUUGAGCCUUUAUGUUUAUUUAUUGGCCCAUACUUUAUGUUUAUAUUCAUUAUCAAAUUAAAACAAAAAUCCCCUCAUUCUGUCUCACAAAAACCAAAACAUAACCUACAUAUAUAAAAACUACACUACAUGAAACAUAAAAGUGUGUGAGUUCUCGGUAUAACUGACGCGGGCACACCGUCUGCAAAAACAAACAAAGUAUAUAUUUCCAAACGAACAUCUAUCAUACUAAGAAAAAUCUCAUUAUGAGAAUCAUGCAAAUGCAAAAAUAACUAAUAUUAUCCAGCUCUCAUACAAAUACACACUACACAUCAUUAUAUAUGGUCUUCGAAAUAAGUAAAAACUCAAUCAAGACAAAACAUCAAACUUAUCACAAACCAUUGACUCGAAAUGUUAACGCCCCCUGAAUAAAUGGACAUUUGAACUAAACGGUUGAAAAUUUAAAGAGAAAAAAAGACUUAAACAAACCUUCUAUAAGACAUAGUUAUAACAACUUAUCCUCACACAAAAUACUAUACCAUGAAUAACAGACCACUUUUCUCUUAUCAGCUCUCACACCAAACAUAAUCUACAUGAGCAAACCCACGACAAACACUACAAGUCUACGUCCACAGGCUCAACACACAACAAUCCAUCAUUGAUUUUUAGCUACCGUUUAUCAUUGACAAUCAAGGUAAUUUAAAAGACUCAACAACUGAGUACAUGGAAUUAAUGCUAACAUACCAUCACAUUCACCACCCCGACUCAACCUUGCUUAUUCAAGAGACUACUGAAUACGUAAUGAAUAAACUGCCAAACAGCUACAAUACCAUAAUUAAUGAUCUCCAAGUUACUAUUACCAUCUAGGACUACAACCAAAAUGCGACUGCAAGACUUGACGUCAAUCUUAUCAUCACAGAUCUAGAGGAAACAAAUAGCCCUCCAGCUACAAAAGAAGAAAACGAUAUAUGCACUAUCUGCUUUAGAAAUUACAACUAUGGAAACAAACUUUGCUCUCUUACUUGCGGUCAUAAUUUUUAUUUUACAUGCAUUGAUCAAUGGCUUCGUACAAACAAAAACUACCCAAUAUGUAGGGAAAGUAAUCUAUGAUUCCACCCUUAAUAUGAUUAAUAACAUGGAAUAUCAUGUUUUAAUUUCUAAUUUUAUUUGUGUAGUAUUUUCUACUUUGGUUUUUCAUUUCCAAACACAAUUAUUAAUAAUUUAUCCUCAUUAAUAAAUCUUUUCCAUUCACACUAUUAUUUUAUUAUAUAAAAACUAACAUCAAUAAAGACAAACAAUACAUGACACAC